This is a small nuclear RNA of Podarcis muralis (Common wall lizard), 107 nucleotides long. The record is from Ensembl. NCBI's taxonomy places the organism in Eukaryota, Metazoa, Chordata, Lepidosauria, Squamata, Lacertidae.
GUGAUCCCUUCGGCAGCACAUGUACUAAAAUUGGAAUGAUACAGGGAAAAUUAGCAUGGCCCCUGCACAAGGAUAAUAUGCAAAUUUGUGAAGCGUUCCAUAUUUUU